This 301-nucleotide ribosomal RNA is filed under the name uncultured bacterium. RNAcentral describes it as "partial 16S ribosomal RNA". It matches the Rfam family "Bacterial small subunit ribosomal RNA", at positions 509 to 808 of the family's 1533-position model. The record is from RNAcentral.
CAGCCGCCGCGGUAAUACGUAGGUGGCAAGCGUUGUCCGGAAUUAUUGGGCGUAAAGGGCUCGCAGGCGGUUUCUUAAGUCUGAUGUGAAAGCCCCCGGCUCAACCGGGGAGGGUCAUUGGAAACUGGGAAACUUGAGUGCAGAAGAGGAGAGUGGAAUUCCACGUGUAGCGGUGAAAUGCGUAGAGAUGUGGAGGAACACCAGUGGCGAAGGCGACUCUCUGGUCUGUAACUGACGCUGAGGAGCGAAAGCGUGGGGAGCGAACAGGAUUAGAUACCCCGUAGUCCCUGUCUCUUAUACC